CCCCCAUGUUCCCUCUGCCACCUGGCAAGAAUCCAAGGUCAAAGUUUUGGGUUUAUUUAGCAUUUAUCCAUAAAAAGUAUGAACUUGGCUCUAUUCCAAGGAGGUUUAAAAUGUGCAAAGAAAGCAAAUCCAGGAGACGUGACAGUGACAGCAUAUAACCCACUCACUCUGUGCCUCCACCCAAAGGUAAGCCCCACUUAGUGCUUCAACCCACAAGUAUUGUUCCUACUCAGUGCCUCCAUCCACAGGUAAUAUUCCCAUUCAGUGCCUCCAUCCAUAGGUAAUGUUCCAUUAAGUGCCUUCACGCCAGUAGUAACCCCUCUACCCCCAUGCAGUGCCUCCACAUCAUUGUAAACCAACUAACACAAUGCCUCCACUCUCAUUGGAACCCAACUUCAUGAUGCAACCACUCCACUGGAAACUCAACCUCUCAGUGCCUCCAGGCUCUACCUCACUGCAUACCCACAAACUUAGCAUUGCCACCUGAGUACAUAAUCACCCACCCUGUGCCUAACUCCACUAAUUAACCCCCACCCCUCACACACUCAUUGCAUCUGCCCACCUAUUCAGUGUCUGCACUCCACUGCAAACCCAUCCAACAGUUGCCUCUUGGCCAAUAAUAGCCCACCCACAACCUGCCUCCACCACAUUAGUAACCAAAUGAAAUGACGCAACUACCCCUCUGGGAGACCAACUAUGUAAUUCCAUGUAUCCAACCAUUGGUAUCCAAAUAAACUACUGCCACCACCUCACUAAUGAUCUGCAAAUUAGUGUGUGCACCCCACUUGUAACCUAAACAUUCAGUCCCUCCAGUCUAUCCAAGUCCUAAAUAUUGUAAGCCUACUGUACACCUAAAUGGUCAUUGAUAACCCAAACAUGUAGCACCUUCGCCCAAUACCAGAUGUUCCAUGACCUUGCCUUGGUGAAAUCCCAAAUGUUCAGUGCCUCCACCUUUACUGAUAACCCAAACAUUGAAUAGCCUCCAUCCAGUCGAUAAACCAAAUGUUUAGUGCCUCUGUCCAACUGAUCUAAACAUUUACUUCUUCCACCCCACUGAUAAGCUAACUUUUCGGUAACUCCACUAAUAACCCACUCCAUGCCUUCUCUGCACUGGUAACACAACUGAUCAGAUCCUUAUCCCUGCUGGUAACAUUGUAACACAAAAGUCUUGAGUUUGGUCAAUAUUCCACAAAUCGCCUACAUUCUAAGUCCUUACAAUCAUAUAAGAAAUCCCUGCAUUAAUCUUCGGUUCCUGAGCUUGUCAAUACCAGGAGGGGGGAAUGAGCUGAAAAACACCCCCAUCCCAAGUAGUCUACCCCAACCCAGUGGAAAAUAGCCCAGACCCCAAAGGAAAAAAAAAGAUAAUCCCACCCGGAGUAUCCAGGCCAAUCCUGAGGGAUGUACCCCAAUCCCAACCCUCCAGUACACCCACCCCAAAGGAAUAUACCCAUUGUAGUGGCACUCUCUGUUAUGCUGGUUGUGUGUUUUCUCUGAUCAUACACACAUAGCGUCAUGGGUAGAGAUAGUUACACUUACACUAGAUUAAGGGUGAGGAAAGGGCUGUCUGAU
This 1569-nucleotide long non-coding RNA is filed under the name Pelobates cultripes (western spadefoot toad). Lineage: Eukaryota; Metazoa; Chordata; Amphibia; Anura; Pelobatidae. The record is from RNAcentral.